RNAcentral lists this long non-coding RNA (1062 nucleotides) under Apteryx haastii (Great spotted kiwi). RNAcentral describes it as "lncRNA (ENSAHAG00000001903.1)". Lineage: Eukaryota; Metazoa; Chordata; Aves; Apterygiformes; Apterygidae. The record is from RNAcentral.
AACGGGAGGAUCGCAUGGGAGCAGCGCCCAUGAAACUGAAGACAGCAGGACCUCAUGCCCCAGGCAGAGGGAGAAGCCUUCCCACAACUCAGAAGUCUGGUUCCUUCCCCAAUGCUGAACAAACCCAGCAAAUCCUCCACACAUCCAGGACAACGAGCAUUCUCCUAUUUCAUGGUUUCACCUUCUGGAGCUCCCUGCAGCAAAGCAGCCCCGUUGCCAUCACCGCUGCCCCUGCCCUGGCGGGAGGGCACCCGCCGCCUUUUGAACACACCUGCAGCCCCACCAAACCCACUCGCACCCAGUCUCUCGCCCGAUCCCUUCUUGCCUCCUUUGCUCCCGCUCCUCUUUCACCUCUUUCUUUGACGUCUUUUUUUUCCCACAUGUUGGACUGCAAUUGGCUGACAGAGCCAUCAGUGAAAUCAAUGCCCGCCCUCCUCCUCCUGACAGCCAAUAGGAGAGCUGCACUGGGCGAUGCCAUGGCAACACUGGGCCCUCCUGCCCUGGCAGCCAGCUCUGUCCCCUCCCCCGCGGUCGGGCGCCAUGUUGUGGGCGGCAGCGCGGGCGCGGCGGGGCCUGGGGGCAGCGCAGCGCUGUGUGGGCGGGCAGUGCAGGGCCACGUGGCGCGGCCGCUGCCCCGGCGUGGCUGGGCUGUGUGGCGGGGUCCCCGUGGGGCUGCUGGCUGCCCUGUGCCCUGGGGGCCGUGCGGGGGGGCAGUGCUGGGGCCUGUGCUGGUGGCAGCCAUGGCGCCGGCAUGGGGGCCCUGGGGCUGGCCGGGGCGGCGGAGCUUGCGGGCAGCGUCCUGCUGCCCCCAGAGCAGGGCAGGGCAGGGCAGGGCCAGGCAGUGUCGUCUUGCCCCUCCUGCCCUGUCAGGACCCUCAGGCAGAGCUCUUGUGGCAGUCCGCAGCCCUGACCAGCCACCCCCACAGCCUGGGAUUCAAAGCAGUUUUUGCAGUUAACAGUCUCAGUGCGACACCUCAGGAAGGAGCUCCCGAAGCCCUUAGCCUUGGUGGAGAGCCGCAGGAGUGUUGGAAACAAGGAACUGCGGUCCAGGCUGAUGGUGUC